Molecule: long non-coding RNA, 3649 nt
Filed under: Homo sapiens (human)
Lineage: Eukaryota; Metazoa; Chordata; Mammalia; Primates; Hominidae
Description: HSALNT0374632
Source: RNAcentral
ACCAGAUAUUGCCAAAUUGCUCUCAAUUAAAAACCACUGGGGUAGAGGACCCGAGUGAGAUAGUGCUGUGCCUUGAGUUAAUACCAGCCUGCAGGUCGUUACCCCAAGACUGGAAGGAACAGAGGGAGGGGAGUGGCUCCCAGAACUGGGUGACAGAGAAGUUUUGUGGAAAAGACUGCCUUAUAGGAGCUGGAUCCCUCAGUGGAGGGUCAGGGUCAGUCCUGCUCUCCUCCCUAACCCUGAUCUUCCACCCGAGGGCAAGCCUAUUGAUGACAUCCAAAGAAGUUGCCUUCCAGGUAAGGAGCAAGGUGGGGAAGAGGACAAAGUGGGGCUAGAGAGGAAAACUAAAGAAACCCAGCACAGCCCCAACACUGAUUUGGUGGCAAAAUUCAACUGGAACUAAGCCAAGUCGAUUUCAGUUAUUUACUCCAUUUACUACAGAAAUACAUAGGACUUUGAUUAUAGGAUGCUACCCUAGACCCAGUUGAGGGUGUUAUACAAUAUAUAUACCGUCUUACCUUUCUAAAAUUUGAAAACUUUUGAAUUCCAAAAUAUAGCUGGCUCCACGCAUUCCAGACACAAUUGUAGAAAUACACUUUUCAUAGUUAGGUCUUAAAUCCAUCUGGAGUCCAUCCUUGUGUAAUGUAAGACAGGGAUUCAGUUUUUUUGGUUUCCACAUAACGAACCAGUUUAUCCACACCACCUAUCCCUCCUUCUCUCAUUGGUUCAUUGCAGUUUUCAUCCUAUAUUAAGUUCUCAUAUAUAUCUGUGAAUCUAUCUUUGCAUUCUUCUGCCAGUCCCACACUAUUUUUAUUACUUUGGCUUCCUGAUAUGUCCUAAUAUUUGGUAGAUAAAUCCUUUCUGUUUGCUAUUUAUUUAUUUAUUUAUUUAUUUAUUUGAGAUGGAGUCUCACUCUGUCACCCAGGUUGGAGUGCAGUGGCGUGAUCUUGGCUCACUGCAACCUCCAUCUCCUGGAUUCAAGCAAUUCUCCUGCCUCAGCCUCCCGAGUAGCUGGGACUACAGGCACUUGCCACCAAACCCAGCUAAUUUUUAAUUUUUUUAUUUUUUAGUAGAGAUGGGGUUUCAUCAUGUUGGCCAGGCUAGUCUCAAACUCCUGACCUUAGGUGAUCCACCUGCCUUGGUCUCCCAAAGUGCUGGGAUUACAGACGUGAGCCAUCACACCUGGACUGCAGCUUACUUUCAAAUGGUUCAGAAGAAAGCAAAGCACCCAGUCUUCCAGGGGCAGGAGUGAAGACUGCAUUCCACGAUCCCUCUGCUUCCCUGAGAGGAGCAGGGUCCUGUGCAGAUUCAUUCUUCUUUCUCCAGCCUCCUCAGCCCUAUGUCCUUCACACUUCAGCAGUGGUCUCUGGAGCCUGGGCAAAAUUAACCCUGUAUUGACCAGAACCCUCACCAAUGUUGCAACUCCUAGGUCUCCAUGGUGAAGAAAUUUGGGUUCAGCACACCUACAGCCUGCCUCGGUGGCCAGACAGCCCUAGUCUCCUUCUUGAAGGUUGAUUUUGCUAUUUGUGUAUCAGAAGUGGAUUUGUCAUGAAGAGUAAGAAGCUUAAGCUUCAAAGUCCCUCAUUUGUACACAUCUGGGGAUCCCUGAAAGUAGUUGGGAGUCAUAGAAUGUUCUAGGUGGAGAAAGAAAAGUAAGUUGCAGUCAGUCAGCAUUUCUAAGUAAGCACAUCUGGUAAGUUACAUAAAGAGAACUCAUAAGAAAGGGACCUGAAUUUCCAAGCUCCUAGUAUUUUGUACUUUCUUUUCUCAUUUUAAAUGAAUAUUCAUUUUCACAUCUAAUUUUGAAUUUAUUCAAAAGAUCCCUCAAAACUAACUAUGUAAAUCUUUAUUUUCUGAGAUACAUUUAAUCUACUAUUAUUUUUAUUUUUUGAGACAGGGUCUGACUCCGGUUGCCCAGGCUGGAGUGCAGUGGUAUGAUCUUGGCUCACUGUAGCCUCGACCUCCCAAGCGCAGGUGAUCCUCCCACCUCAGCCUCCCGAGUAGCUGGGAGUAGAGACGCACACCACCAUGCCUGGCUGGUUUAGUUUUUAGUAGAGAUGAGGUUUCACUAUGUUGCCCAGGCUGGUCUCAAACUCCUGGAAUCAAGUAAUCUGCCUCAGACUCCCAGAGUGUUGGGAUUAUAGGUAUGAGCCACUGCACCCAGCCCUACAUACAUUUUAGAAUAAGUUUAUUGAUUCUUCACAACACCGUAGUGGAAUUUGUAUUAGUAUUGCCUUGUAUCUAUUGACUAAUGAGAAGGUGAUUAACAUUUUUGUAACAGCAAGUGAUCACUCUGAGUAUGAACUGUCUCUCCAUUUGUUCAGAUCUUCUAUGUCUUUUAUUAUAGUUUUCUUCAUAGAGAGGGCUGUUGUGUCUUUUGAGUUAAUUUCUAAAUAUUUUAUGAUUUUUAUUAAUAUUAUGAAUUGUAGCUUUUUAAUAUUUUCUAGUUAAUUAUUACUCAAGUAAGGAGAUGCUAUUGAGCUUUCUAUGUUAACCUCACGUCUGGUAUCUUACCUAGGUUCUGUUAUUAGUCCUCAUAGUUUGAUUCUGUUAGUUUAUUCUAGAUGAAUGUUUAUGUAGUCUGCAAAUUAUGACAGGUUUUUUUUUUUUUUUUUGAGACAAAGUCUCACUCUGUUGCCUAGGCUGGAGUACAGUAGCAUGAUCUCGGCUCACUGCAACCUUCACCUCCCGGGUUCAAGCAAUUUUCCUGCCUCAACCUCCCGAGUAGCUGGGACUACAGGUGCACACUGCCACACCAGGCUAAUUUUUUGUAUUUUAGUAGAGAUGAGGUUUCACUGUGUUGCUCAGGCCGGUCUCAAACUCCUGAGCUCAGGCAAUCUGCCUGCCUCAGCCUCCGAAAGUGCUGGGAUUACAGGCAUGAGCCACUGUGCCUGGCCAGGUUUUAUUAUUUUAUUUUAUUUUAUUUUAUUUUUGAGACAGGGUCUUGCCCUGUUGCCCAGGCUGGAGUGCAGUAGCUCAAUCAUGGCUCACUACAGCCUCAACGUCCCAGGCUCAAGCGAUCCUCCCACUUCAGCCUCCUGGGUAGCUGGGGACUAUGGUGCAUGCCACUAUACCUGCUAGUUUUUUUUUUUUUUUUGAGAUGGGAUCUCUCUGUGUUGCCCAGGCUAGUCUCGAAUUCCUGAGCUCAAUCAAUCUACCUGCCUUAGCCUCCCAAAGUGCUAGGAUUACAGGCCUGGCCAAUUAUGGCAGUUUUGACUCUUUUCUACCAAGCUUAAAGCUUCUUAUUUCCUUUUCUUGCCUUAUAGCAUUCUUCAGCUCUCCAGUUCAAGGCUACAUAUCUACAGUAAUACCUUGUUACUAGUCUUAAUAUUAAUAAAAUGCAUCUACAAUUUCUCUGUGAAGUAUAAUAUUUGCUCUGGGGUUUGGCAGUGGGCCUUUACCAAGUUAUGAAGGUGCUCUUCUAUUUUUAGUUUGCUCUGAGUUUCUUUUUUUUUCCCCUUAAUCAUAAAUAGAUAAUGCCCUUUAUCAAUUGCUUUUCCUGGAAAAAUUGAGUUAAUCAUAUGAUUUUUCCCUUUCAGUCCAUCGAAGUGAUGGACGAUAUUGACAGAUUUUCUAAUGGCCAAGGCUUCUUGCUUUUCUAGGUUGAGCCCCACUUGAUCAUAAUGUAUUAUUUUAAUAUGCUGUUGGG